Molecule: long non-coding RNA, 250 nt
Filed under: Hordeum vulgare
Lineage: Eukaryota; Viridiplantae; Streptophyta; Magnoliopsida; Poales; Poaceae
Description: long non-coding RNA (HVUL_LNC014042)
Source: RNAcentral
UCUAUAUAAGCCGCCCUCCCCCACUGGUAGAGGGGUUAGAAAAACAUUGUAUUCCAUAUUCCACUCGACAGCAAGCUCCGAGAGCACUGAGACGUAGGGCUGUUACCUCCACCGCUGAGGGGCCUGAACUCAUACAACCUCGCACUGAGACGUAGGGAUGUUACCUCCACCGCUGAGGGGCCUGAACUCAUACAACCUCGCCGUAGCUAGGACUCUGCCCAUCUCAUUCGUACCCUACACAUCUACUGUC